UACGGAGGGGGCUAGCGUUGUUCGGAAUUACUGGGCGUAAAGCGCGCGUAGGCGGACCUGCAAGUCGGGGGUGAAAGCCCGAGGCUCAACCUCGGAACUGCCUUCGAUACUGCGGGUCUCGAGUCCGGGAGAGGUGAGUGGAAUUCCUAGUGUAGAGGUGAAAUUCGUAGAUAUCUGGAGGAACACCGGUGGCGAAGGCGGCAUCCUGGACCAACACUGACGCUGAGUGAGCGAAAGCCAGGGGAGCAAACGGG
Molecule: ribosomal RNA, 254 nt
Filed under: uncultured bacterium
Lineage: Bacteria
Description: partial 16S ribosomal RNA
Rfam family: Bacterial small subunit ribosomal RNA
Source: RNAcentral